This 201-nucleotide long non-coding RNA is filed under the name Brassica napus (rape). RNAcentral describes it as "long non-coding RNA (BNAP_LNC006298)". Lineage: Eukaryota; Viridiplantae; Streptophyta; Magnoliopsida; Brassicales; Brassicaceae. The record is from RNAcentral.
AUAAAAUACUCAAAAAUCUAUUUUAGGAAAGUUUUCAUUUUCAUUGGGAAAUAUUUUAAAUUUGAGGUUGUGAUUUAGAAAUUGAGAUAACAAGAAUUUUUUGUUGAUAAAUGAGUAUUUUUUAGAAUUUUUUUAUCAAUUUGUUGUAUUUUUUAUAUAAAAUACUCAAAAAUCUAUUUUAGGAAAGUUUUCAUUUUCAUU